RNAcentral lists this ribosomal RNA (264 nucleotides) under uncultured archaeon. RNAcentral describes it as "partial 16S ribosomal RNA". It matches the Rfam family "Archaeal small subunit ribosomal RNA", at positions 717 to 982 of the family's 1478-position model. The record is from RNAcentral.
ACACGUCUACAUUAGAUACCCCCGUAGUCCCAGCCGUAAACUAUGCGCGUUAGGUGUAUCGGUGACCACGAGUUACCGAGGUGCCGAAGGGAAACCGUGAAACGUGCCGCCUGGGAAGUACGGUCGCAAGGCUGAAACUUAAAGGAAUUGGCGGGGAGCACCACAACGGGUGGAGCCUGCGGUUUAAUUGGACUCAACGCCGGGAAGCUCACCGGAUAGGACAGCAGAAUGAUUGCCGGGCUGAAGACCCUGCAUGACUAGCUG